Molecule: ribosomal RNA, 394 nt
Filed under: uncultured Anoxybacillus sp.
Lineage: Bacteria; Bacillati; Bacillota; Bacilli; Caryophanales; Anoxybacillaceae
Description: bacterial SSU rRNA
Rfam family: Bacterial small subunit ribosomal RNA
Source: RNAcentral
AUCCCUUGAAGCAGCUAGAGAUAGCUGUGUCCUUCGGGACGAAGGAGACAGGUGGUGGCAUGUUGUCGUCAGCUCGUGUCGUGAGAUGUUGGGUUAAGUCCCGCAACGAGCGCAACCCUCGACCUUAGUUGCCAGCAUUCAGUUGGGCACUCUAAGGUGACUGCCGGCUAAAAGUCGGAGGAAGGUGGGGAUGACGUCAAAUCAUCAUGCCCCUUAUGACCUGGGCUACACACGUGCUACAAUGGGCGGUACAAAGGGUCGCGAACCCGCGAGGGGGAGCCAAUCCCAAAAAGCCGCUCUCAGUUCGGAUUGCAGGCUGCAACUCGCCUGCAUGAAGCCGGAAUCGCUAGUAAUCGCGGAUCAGCACGCCGCGGUGAAUACGUUCCCGGGCCUU